This 273-nucleotide ribosomal RNA is filed under the name uncultured bacterium. RNAcentral's name for it is "partial 16S ribosomal RNA". It matches the Rfam family "Bacterial small subunit ribosomal RNA", at positions 524 to 796 of the family's 1533-position model. The record is from RNAcentral.
UACGUAGGUGGCAAGCGUUGUCCGGAUUUAUUGGGCGUAAAGCGAGCGCAGGCGGUUCCUUAAGUCUGAUGUGAAAGCCCACGGCUCAACCGUGGAAGGUCAUUGGAAACUGGGGAACUUGAGUGCAGAAGAGGAGAGUGGAAUUCCAUGUGUAGCGGUGAAAUGCGUAGAUAUAUGGAGGAACACCAGUGGCGAAGGCGACUCUCUGGUCUGUAACUGACGCUGAGGCUCGAAAGCGUGGGGAGCAAACAGGAUUAGAUACCCGUGUAGUCC